GACGAACGCUGGCGGCGUGCUUAACACAUGCAAGUCGAACGAAGAGCGACGGAAGCUUGCUUCUAUCAAUCUUAGUGGCGAACGGGUGAGUAACGCGUAAUCAACCUGCCCUUCAGAGGGGGACAACAGUUGGAAACGACUGCUAAUACCGCAUACGAUCUAACCUCGGCAUCGAGGAUAGAUGAAAGGCGGCCUCUACAUGUAAGCUAUCACUGAAGGAGGGGAUUGCGUCUGAUUAGCUAGUUGGAGGGGUAACGGCCCACCAAGGCGAUGAUCAGUAGCCGGUCUGAGAGGAUGAACGGCCACAUUGGGACUGAGACACGGCCCAGACUCCUACGGGAGGCAGCAGUGGGGAAUCUUCCGCAAUGGACGAAAGUCUGACGGAGCAACGCCGCGUGAGUGAUGACGGCCUUCGGGUUGUAAAGCUCUGUUAAUCGGGACGAAAGGCCUUCUUGCGAAUAGUGAGAAGGAUUGACGGUACCGGAAUAGAAAGCCACGGCUAACUACGUG
RNAcentral lists this ribosomal RNA (510 nucleotides) under uncultured bacterium. RNAcentral describes it as "partial 16S ribosomal RNA". It matches the Rfam family "Bacterial small subunit ribosomal RNA", at positions 28 to 507 of the family's 1533-position model. The record is from RNAcentral.